RNAcentral lists this ribosomal RNA (424 nucleotides) under uncultured eukaryote. RNAcentral describes it as "bacterial SSU rRNA". It matches the Rfam family "Eukaryotic small subunit ribosomal RNA", at positions 592 to 1018 of the family's 1831-position model. The record is from RNAcentral.
CAAUAGCGUAUAUUUAAGUUGUUGCAGUUAAAAAGCUCGUAGUUGGAUUUCGGAUGGGUGCGACCGGUCCGCCGUUUCGGUGUGCACUGGUUGCGUCUAUCUUGCUGUCGGGGACGCGCUCCUGGCCUUAACUGGCUGGGACGCGGAGUCGGCGAAGUUACUUUGAGGAAAUUAGAGUGUUCACGGCAGGCCUUCGCCUUGAAUAUAUUAGCAUGGAAUAAUAAUAUAGGAUCUUGGUUCUAUUUUGUUGGUUUUCUAGAGCUAGGAUAAUGAUUAAUAGGGACAAUUGGGGGCAUUCGUAUUAACGCGUCAGAGGUGGAAUUCUUGGAUUGCGUUACGACGAACUACUGCGAAAGCAUUUGCCAAGGAUGUUUUCAUUGAUCAAGAACGAAAGUAAGGGGAGUCGAAGACGAUCAGAUACCGU